AAAAUGGGAAUAUAAUUACAGCAACCUCAUCAAUUUAGUUUAUUUUGUAUCAAAUGAACAAAAAUUAGCAGGCUGUAUCAAAAGUAAAUAUACAAGAACUCCUCAGGCAGAACUUAUAAACAUCACUGGGACUCAAGAAUCAUCCUGCCUGCUGUGUGUAUUUGCUCAGCAACCCAUAACUAGUUCAAAUCUACGCAUUAUAAAUCUGAGAAAAAACAACGAAGAGAUUCCUGCCAUUUUCCAGUAACAUAGUGAAGAAA
This 260-nucleotide unclassified non-coding RNA is filed under the name Hevea brasiliensis (rubber tree). Lineage: Eukaryota; Viridiplantae; Streptophyta; Magnoliopsida; Malpighiales; Euphorbiaceae. The record is from RNAcentral.